CGGGAGCAAUCCUGGUGGCGAGUGGCGAACGGGUGAGUAAUAUAUCGGAACGUGCCCAGUAGUGGGGGAUAGCCCGGCGAAAGCCGGAUUAAUACCGCAUACGACCUGAGGGUGAAAGCGGGGGAUCGCAAGACCUCGCGCUAUUGGAGCGGCCGAUAUCAGAUUAGCUUGUUGGUGAGGUAAUGGCUUACCAAGGCUACGAUCUGUAGCUGGUCUGAGAGGACGACCAGCCACACUGGGACUGAGACACGGCCCAGACUCCUACGGGAGGCAGCAGUGGGGAAUUUUGGACAAUGGGCGCAAGCCUGAUCCAGCAAUGCCGCGUGCGGGAAGAAGGCCUUCGGGUUGUAAACCGCUUUUGUCAGGGAAGAAACGGCUCUAGCCAAUACCUGGAGCUAAUGACGGUACCUGAAGAAUAAGCACCGGCUAACUACGUGCCAGCAGCCGCGGUAAUACGUAGGGUGCAAGCGUUAAUCGGAAUUACUGGGCGUAAAGCGUGCGCAGGCGGUUAUGCAAGACAGAUGGGAAGUCCCCGGGCUUAACCUGGGAACUGCAUUUGUGACUGUAUGGCUAGAGUACGGUAGAGGGGGAUGGAAUUCCGCGUGUAGCAGUGAAAUGCGUAGAUAUGCGGAGGAACACCGAUGGCGAAGGCAGUCCCCUGGACCUGUACUGACGCUCAUGUACGAAAGC
Molecule: ribosomal RNA, 690 nt
Filed under: uncultured Aquabacterium sp.
Lineage: Bacteria; Pseudomonadati; Pseudomonadota; Betaproteobacteria; Burkholderiales; Sphaerotilaceae
Description: bacterial SSU rRNA
Rfam family: Bacterial small subunit ribosomal RNA
Source: RNAcentral